This 879-nucleotide unclassified non-coding RNA is filed under the name Hevea brasiliensis (rubber tree). Lineage: Eukaryota; Viridiplantae; Streptophyta; Magnoliopsida; Malpighiales; Euphorbiaceae. The record is from RNAcentral.
CCAUUUACAAGUUAUCCUACAAUUAGCAAAUUGAAAAGAAAAGAAGUGAUGGAGAAUCUAGCUAGAAUUAUCAAUGGAGACAUAACCAAGAUUUUUUAUGGUCAUGAGCGUAAUUGACUCCAAUUGAUGAACUUGAGCCUCUUAUCUACAAAGCUUAUCUCCUGUGAUAAAAUCUUACCCAAAACAACUUGGAGCCUACAAUCUAUUGUUAUAGAAGCUCAAUAAUCAAGGAAGACCCUACACAUGCACUAGUAUAAUUAUUGUUGAUCUAUCAUCACUUCUGGGUGCAGCCUCUUCUUGCCACUGAGAGGGACUCCAAAAAGCUUCACUGGUCUAUAAUUUGAUUCCUCAGUUAAAGUCAGUGAAGACUUACCCAAACCAAGAUUUUUAGAGCUUAUUUGCUGAUCUUGACAAGAACCCAAUUGUACAAUCUUAGGAGUUGUUGAACUAUAACCCCUUUGCUCAUAGGGCACUACUGGUACAGGCUUUGCAUGGCUUUGGAUGAAGUAGAUAAUGUCAUUGUAGAGGCUCUUCAUGUGGGAAAGUUCUGAUAAAAGCAUGUAGUUUUUCCUUCUCAGCCUCUGAUUAUCUUCAGAAAGUGCUCUUAGGAGAUCUGUGGUGGGUUUUGGAGAUAAUGGAAAUAUUGGAUGAUCAAUAAUAUUCCGGCCAAAACUUUCUUCUUGUUGGAGAUUUUGAUGACCUAGUACUGGUUGGUGCUGGUGCUGUGGUGUUUUUCUCCUGUGGAUCUCAGAUAACAAAUGCUUUGCUCCUUUUCUAAAGCACUCAUUUGCAAACUCCCAUCUGUCUGCAACUACUUUCUUAAAUCCAUAGGUGUUGAGCUGCCUAACAAAGCUUGAGAAGUUGUUGUGCUUGAAGUAA